RNAcentral lists this long non-coding RNA (714 nucleotides) under Marmota monax (woodchuck). Lineage: Eukaryota; Metazoa; Chordata; Mammalia; Rodentia; Sciuridae. The record is from RNAcentral.
GAAAACUUGGGAAUCAACUUAAUGAAAGAGGUAAAAGAUCUAUAUAAUGAAAACUACAGAACCCAAAAGAAAGAAAUCAAAGAUGACCUUAGAAGAUGAAAAGAUCUACCUUGCUCUUGGAUAGGCAGAAUUAAUAUUAUCAAAAUGCCAAUACUACCAAAAGCACUAUACAAAUUUUAUGCAAUUCCCAUCAAAAUCCCAAUGGCAUUCCUCAUAGAAAUAGGUAAAGCAAUCAUGAAAUUCAUCUGGAAAAAUAAGAGACCAGAAUAGCUAAAGCAAUCCUUAGCAGGAAAAGUAAAGCAGGUGGCAUUACUAUUACAGAUCUUAAACUAUACUACAGAGCAAUAGUAACAAAAACAGCAUGGUAUUGGUGCCAAAACAGACCAAUGGUACAGAAUAGAGGACACAGAGACUAACCCACAAAAUUAUAAUGAUCUUAUAUUAGACAAAGGUGCCAAAAACAUUCAUUGGAGAAAAGGUAGCCUCUUCAACAAAUGGUACUGGGAAAACUGGAAAUCCAUACGCAACAAAAUGAAAUUAAACCCCUCUCGCCAUGUACAAAAAUCAACUCAAAAGUGGAUCAAGGACCCCGGAAUUAAAUCUAAAAGUGUCUAAUAGAAUAAAAAGUAGGUCCUAAUCUUCAUCAUGUGGGAUUAGGCCCCAACUUCCCUACUAAGAUUCCUAUAGCACAAGAAUUAAAACCAAGAAUCAAUA